Molecule: long non-coding RNA, 1688 nt
Filed under: Homo sapiens (human)
Lineage: Eukaryota; Metazoa; Chordata; Mammalia; Primates; Hominidae
Description: HSALNT0351661
Source: RNAcentral
UCAGUCCCAGAGGAAAGGCCUGUCCUCCAAGCCAAUGUGCAGCCUGACUCUGGGGCCAGCGCCUGAGGAAGCCCUCCCUGAGCCCCAGCCCUGGGGAAGGCUGAAGAGGCCUCUGAGCCCCCAGCGCUGGGGAGAGCUGUGCAGAAUAGGACUGGAGGUGGAAGUGUUGGAGAUUAACAGCCAGGUGGAGGGGACGGGGGAGGCCCUGGGUCAGUCCUCAGGGAACCCCCAUUGUGAAGGGGGAAAGGGAAACUCAGGCCCAGUCCUCAGGGGCCCCCAGUCUGAGAGGAAGGAGGACACACGAGCCAUAUUUGCAGAGAAACACCAGCCUGCGAGAGGAGGUAGAAGCCCAGGCCUGGCCCUCCGAGGGCCCCUAGUCUGAGGAGCAGUCCACCUGUCCUCGGGAAAACACCUCCCUUAGGAAAGGCCAGCAAGGCCCCCGUAAAGGACCCAGAGCUGGAUCGGGACAUCGGGCUCGGGGCUCAGCGGUGUGGGAGCUCCGGGACCGAGGUGCAGUCAGGAGAGACCCUGGGGGCCAGCAGCAGUCCCAGAGGACUUUUGGAGCCAAGGCCUGACUGGGUCUCAAACAAUGGGGCAGGCAGUUUGGGGUUUCAGCAGGUGGCCCAGUGCUGAGACACAAGGGAGGUGUUUCUGGUCUGCAGACACUGAGGACGCUUGCUAUGUGGCGUGGUGGACGGUGGGGCUUGACCCUGGGGACUGAGAGGUGGAGAAGACACAGUCCCAUCUGUCUCACGGCAGAGACAGGUAAGCAGCAGGUGACUUAGGACACACCAGAUAGGCUGGAAGGAAUACAGACGGGGCUAUCCCAAGCUGGAGGGGUACAAGGGUCUUCCGUUAGAGGUGACGUGGGAACUGAGUUUUCCAAAACGAGCAGGGGGAUGGGGCACCGGGGCAUUUGAAGCUUGAUGGGAUUGUGAGAAAACCUGGGAACUGCGAGUGACUUGCAGAGGGCUGCGGAAGUGGGCAGGGAUAGACCAUGAAGGGCUUUGUCAGCCAGGCCAAGGAGUUCUGACUUUAACCCGAGGGCCUGAGGAGCCUGCAAAGGGUUCUAAACAAAGAGAAGAGCAACAGGGUCAACCUGAGGUCCCUGAGGCCCCAGGGCAUCCAGCAGGCAGAGGCGCAGUUGGGCCUGGGCUGGGGAGAGGAGUCUAGCUGGAGAAAGAGAAGAGGAGAUAUCAGCCCCUGGACAUUCAGCACUAGAGUUGCUGGGGCUGCCCAAGAAGCACAGGGAGUGAGGCAAGGGCCAGGGCCAGGAUUCUGGGGAAGAAGGAUGACGAAGAAGGAGUGGGUGUGGAAGGAGCUGGAAACCCAGACACAGGGCUGCCCAGAGGCUGAUGGGAGCCAGUAGGGGGCUGUUGCCCCAGAGUUGGGUGCUGGGAGGGGCUGGCCAGGCAGGUGUUUGCAGACAGCUGCCUGGAUGAGCUGGUGGGGAUAGAGGGUGGCAACAGCACUGAAGAAGCAGAGGCUGAGGAGGCAGAAAGUUCAACUGCAGAGAGAAGAGAGGCAGCUAAAGGGGCCACCAAGGUUUGGGGGCACACGUGAAGGUUUGACAUAUAGUAAACACAUGUCAUGGUGGUUUGUUGUACAGAUUAUUACAUCACCCAGGGUUUCACUCCCGUCACCCAGACUGGAGUACAAUGGUGCGAUCUCAGCUCACUGCAACCUCU